This is a long non-coding RNA of Homo sapiens (human), 1691 nucleotides long. Ensembl annotates it as long intergenic non-protein coding RNA 941. The record is from Ensembl. Lineage: Eukaryota; Metazoa; Chordata; Mammalia; Primates; Hominidae.
GGCAGCCGUGGGACUGGCACAGGCUCCUCGGCAGCAUUAUGGGCAGCUGGUAGAGCGGCCACUUCUGAGAGCCGGAUGGGCCUUCCGAGGUCGGGCCGUGCCCCGCUGGGCAGCGCAGAGGGGGUGUGUAGGGCACGCGACUUGGAGCCAGGUCCAGACCCAUCCUGGCUCCUCUCAGGGCUCCUUCCCCUGCCCCCAUUCCACCCCAGCCCUGCUGGCUGUCCCGCAGGACCCAGCGCCGCGGUAGCCUUCUCUGAACUGCGGCUCAGGCGGAGGUGUCACUCCUGCCUCCAGCCCAGGAGGGCAGGUCAGGUUAUGCAACGCGUGCCGCGCGAUCUCCCCCCACCUCCAACCCCCUUUUCUCCCGGGUCCACACCGCAGUUCCCACCGCUCCGGGUGUCCUCCCCAGUGCGCCGCGAUUUUUGUGUCCAAGCCCCAGAGUCCCUCUGAGACCAACCCCCAGCCAGCACAGACUUCCUGCCUUCCCAGCUCGGGUAGAGACAGCUCCGGGCCGGGGGUGGAGGAUGGUGCGGUGGGGAGGAGGCAAGGAAAUUCCCAGCCUUCCUGCGCGAACCUGGGAGACCAGCAGGCACCUGGUCUCGUCCCGCUGGGUCCCCUCCGCACCCAAGACUGUCUUCCCAAGUGGCUUACUCCACAGAAGGAAUGUCGUCAGCUGAUUAUAUCUGAUUAGCAUCCAGUUCCGACGACUCAUCCCUUAAAACGGAUGUGGUCUCAUUAGGUUGCCCAAGCUGGACUUGUACUCUUGGCCUCAAGAGGUCCUUCCAUCUCAGUCUCCCAAGUAGCUGGGACUACAAGCAUGCACCACUACACUCAGCCAAAUACUUUCAAUAAUUUGCCAGCUGACAACUUGAUUGGGUUCUCCUUCAGGUUUGAAGCGCCCUCGAGAAGUGUCUAAAGGAGACAGUUGAUAGCCAAACAACAGUUUUGGAUUCACUGACUGAUUAUGAAAGAAGCAGUAGACUGGUAUCAAGAAUCAGUCAGCAAGGAGGCCCUCACCAGACGCCAGUGCCAUGUUCUUGGACUUCUCAGCCUCCAUAUUCAUGAACUAAGUUUUUGGAAUCCUUAGGCUUCCACGUGUGGAAAGCCUGAGCUAACCUACUGGAGGAUGAGCCAUCACCUGGAGCAGAUUCAGGCCAUCCUAGUUGAAGCCUCCCUAGGCCAAGCAACCGUCCAACUACCAGACAUUGACCAUUCAGCCUUGAACAUUCAGCACAAAGACAAAACAGACCAGACCAGAAGAGUCCCACAGAAUAGGGGAAACUAUUCAGAGAAAACUUAAGCCACUAAGUUUUAUGGUGUUUUGUUCUGUAGCAGAAGCAUAGGCAUACUGACAAUACAAACCGAAAUCCUUCUAACGUAGUGGACCUUUUCAGGCCAGCAUUUUUUCCUUGAAAACCUGGAGCAUGUAUCCAUCUUAUAGCAGAGAUCACUUUCACAAUGUUUGGGCUCUUGAUUUGAAUUGAUGAUGUAAUGAGCCCUCUAUCCAGAUUGUAACUAAUUACUCUGCGAAUUGACUGGAUUCCACACCCUUCUAAUAUUUUACUUUUCCUCUUUUAUCAACUCUCAUUCUUGCUGCCAUGAUCAAUGGACCAACUAUGCUUAUAACCACAAAUUUUGAUAUGCUUAAACAAAUGAACAAAUAUAUUUAAUAAUUUCUUUUUUUUUUUUGA